GGAGUUGUGCCUGAAUUAAAAGGGUCACUUUGAUAGAGUGAACAAUGAAGGUUAAAAUCCUUCCAGCUCCU
RNAcentral lists this transfer RNA (71 nucleotides) under Nuchequula nuchalis. RNAcentral describes it as "tRNA-Ile". It matches the Rfam family "tRNA". From Rfam's summary of the family: Transfer RNA (tRNA) molecules are approximately 80 nucleotides in length. The record is from RNAcentral. Lineage: Eukaryota; Metazoa; Chordata; Actinopteri; Chaetodontiformes; Leiognathidae. RNAcentral also lists the same sequence under 1 other name.